Molecule: long non-coding RNA, 402 nt
Organism: Macadamia integrifolia
Lineage: Eukaryota; Viridiplantae; Streptophyta; Magnoliopsida; Proteales; Proteaceae
Exons: 2
Source: RefSeq, a predicted model, not a curated record
GAACAUUAUUACAAGUGAAAUGUGACUAAAAACAUUGUGGUGAAAUCGAAAACCUCUAGUUGUUUCAAAGAUGGCAAAGCUUUCUACCUUCUUUUAUGUCCUUCUCGCAUUCCUUAUAAUUGCCUCAGUUGAGAAGAUGGUGUCCAAGGUGGAUGCAAGGUGCAUCUACAAAUUUGCGGGGGAGUGCGUGAGCGAGACUAAAUGCCAAGAACUGUGCACAAAGACAUACCCUUCCUGCAAGGGAUUUUGUGACGGAAUAGAUCCCCGGAAGCAAUGUAUUUGCAAAUAUUGUGAUUGAUGAAUGAUACCUUUAAAUGAAAGUGGGCCUUAUGUCCUCAUCUUAGCAAUGUAACAAAUAAAUAAAUAAAUAAAUAAGAGGACUAUGUUAAUUUGUCUGUUCUU